Molecule: transfer RNA, 68 nt
Filed under: Limnonectes fujianensis (Fujian large-headed frog)
Lineage: Eukaryota; Metazoa; Chordata; Amphibia; Anura; Dicroglossidae
Description: tRNA-Ser
Source: RNAcentral
GAGCCUGUUAGGCAAAUAUGGGUACUGCUAAUUCCUCAUUACUGUGGUUCGACUCUACAGCAAGCUCA